RNAcentral lists this ribosomal RNA (305 nucleotides) under uncultured bacterium. RNAcentral describes it as "bacterial SSU rRNA". It matches the Rfam family "Bacterial small subunit ribosomal RNA", at positions 335 to 637 of the family's 1533-position model. The record is from RNAcentral.
CUACCUACGGGGCGCAGCAGUGAGGAAUAUUGGUCAAUGGGCGCAAGCCUGAACCAGCCAAGUCGCGUGAGGGAUGACGGUCCUAUGGAUUGUAAACCUCUUUUGUCAGGGAGCAAGGCCCGCCACGUGUGGCGGGAAGGAGAGUACCCGAAGAAAAAGCAUCGGCUAACUCCGUGCCAGCAGCCGCGGUAAUACGGAGGAUGCGAGCGUUAUCCGGAUUUAUUGGGUUUAAAGGGUGGGUAGGCGGAAGGUUAAGUCAGCGGUCAAAUGUGGGUGCUAAAGACCGGGAUGCAGUUGAAAAUGGU